AUUUUUAUAAAUUAAUAAUUCUGUAAAGUAAUAAAUUUAUAUAGUGCCAACAUUUUUAAUAGAGUUUUACUGUAUUUUUAUUUGUCCAUUUUCUCAAACAAAUAGUUUAGUAGUAUGCAUAUUAACACUACAUUAUUAAACACUAAAACUGAACUAUAAGUUUCUGUCUAACAUGAAAAGUUUCUAUAACUUCCAUAAAGCAAUACAUUUACACUUAAAAAAAAAGCCGCAUCCACAUAAAUUGCUAUAUCAGUUGAAUGUCAAAUUAAUCAACAAUACCAUCAAAAAAAAUGUUCAUAUUUAAAUAACAACAAAAAAGUUUAAAGCAAAUAAGAAAACAACUACAAUUAUUAAUACAUCAGUAACCCGCCAUCUAACAAAAGUUCUAUAUAAGAUCUUCAAUAAAGAGAAAGAUUCACAAGAAAAUAUAUUUCUCCACUAUAUUCAAAAACAAAAGAAAAAACAAAUAAAAUGGUAUCAUAUACUUUUAGUCAACAAUUAUAACAAACCCUGCCGUCCACUU
Molecule: long non-coding RNA, 523 nt
Filed under: Brassica napus (rape)
Lineage: Eukaryota; Viridiplantae; Streptophyta; Magnoliopsida; Brassicales; Brassicaceae
Description: long non-coding RNA (BNAP_LNC022046)
Source: RNAcentral